RNAcentral lists this long non-coding RNA (481 nucleotides) under Astyanax mexicanus (Mexican tetra). RNAcentral's name for it is "lncRNA (ENSAMXG00005025123.1)". The record is from RNAcentral. Lineage: Eukaryota; Metazoa; Chordata; Actinopteri; Characiformes; Acestrorhamphidae.
GCUGAAGCUGGAGUUCCUGACUGUACAUGAUGGAUGGGAAGUAAGUGGCUCAUCUCCUGGCAGGCACUGAGGAGUGGAGUCCCAUUUUAUUUCUGAAUCACUCUGAAUGGCACACUACAAAGGUUGGAUGUGCUGCUGCCCUUUCCAUCUUAAAUGCACUUUUGAUAGGCUGAAAGCAGCUGCACUAAAGCAAGAUAAAGCUCCACCAUCAAGAUGAUGAACAGUGCGGAUGAAGAGGCUUCGCACUGAGCACAAAGGCCGGAGCGGAGAGGCUGAGGCAGCGGCGAGGACAGCUGAAGAAUGCCAUGCCGGGCAAGGAUGAAUAGCUCUCAUUUGUGAAUAUACAGAUCCGCAUGGUAGAGGAGGAGGAGGAGGAGAGAAAGAGAGAGAGAGAGAGAGAGAGAGAGAAAGAAGGGGAGUGUAUAUGAAAGAGUGAGAGAGAGAGAGAGAGAGAGAGAGAGAGAGAGCAAGAGAUGGAGUA